AAAGCCCAAAAGGAGUUUGUCAG
RNAcentral lists this non-coding RNA (23 nucleotides) under Cricetulus griseus (Chinese hamster). The record is from RNAcentral. Lineage: Eukaryota; Metazoa; Chordata; Mammalia; Rodentia; Cricetidae.